UACGUAGGGCGCAGGCGUUAUCCCGGAAUUAUUGGGCGUAAAGAGCUCGUAGGCGGUUUGUCGCGUCUGCCGUGAAAGUCCGGGGCUCAACUCCGGAUCUGCGGUGGGUACGGGCAGACUAGAGUGAUGUAGGGGAGACUGGAAUUCCUGGUGUAGCGGUGAAAUGCGCAGAUAUCAGGAGGAACACCGAUGGCGAAGGCAGGUCUCUGGGCAUUAACUGACGCUGAGGAGCGAAAGCAUGGGGAGCGAACAGG
RNAcentral lists this ribosomal RNA (254 nucleotides) under uncultured bacterium. Its description in RNAcentral is "partial 16S ribosomal RNA". It matches the Rfam family "Bacterial small subunit ribosomal RNA", at positions 524 to 776 of the family's 1533-position model. The record is from RNAcentral.